ACACAAAAAAAAAAAAAAAAAAAAAGGCAGUCAUAAACCCCGACACGGUCUAGAUACCACUCGAUUUCUCGCGUGUUGUGUCGUUCGUUUCCAACAUCAAUGGCGAGAACACCAACUUGGAAGACGUUUCUUAUACUCUUCUCACACUUACGGAUGACGUGAUCGCCCACGUUGUCCGGAUUCAAAAUGGUGUAGGCUGGUCGGAGUCCUUCCGAGUUCCAGCUAACCCUGGACACACAGCAUACACCAAGAUCUUGCGCCUAACUGGCUGUCUCGCUUAGUUGAGAUGAAGGUUGUCCUCGUCACCAGGGUCUUUAGAUCUCGGCGGUGGGAGAGAUACAGGUACACGAUGAGUGUGGCCUCCCUCAUACUCCUGGACCCACCAUCACGCAAGUGUACCUGGACAGGCAAGGUAUGGGGGAUAUCGGCGACACACGAUGAGUGUGGCCUCCCUCAUACUCUUGGACCCACCGUCACGCAAGUGUACCUGGACAGGCAAGGUAUGGGGGAUAUCGGCGACACCUCGACUUACCUGGAUUUCUACUGGCUCUUAUAAGACAUACUUAAUGAGGUCAAAGGGUUUGCGGACGAGAACUGCUAUUAUCCCACCUAUUGGCCCGCCGCGUCAAAGGGUUUUCACCGAAUUUCUACUGGCUAGCUCAUGACAUACUUAUUGAGGUCAAAGGGUUUUCACCGAAUUUCUACUGGCUAGCUCAUGACAUACUUAUUGAGGUCAAAGGGUUUUCGGAAGAGCACCGCUAUUAUCCAACGCAGGGGAUGAUUUUCAAACAGGUUUCAGGUAGGUCUCUUAAUCUAAAGAUGGUCACCGCCGGGCCUUUGAAGACGAAGGGGAUAAAGUUCAAACUGAACUCAGACAUGUCACUGAAUCUAAAGACAGUCACCGCCGGGCCUUAGAAAACGCAGGGGAUGAAGUUCAAACUGAACUCAGACAUGUCACUGAAUCUAAAGACUGUCACCGCCGGGCCUUAGAAAACGCAGGGGAUGAAGUUCAAACUGAACUCAGACAUGUCACUGAAUCUAAAGACAGUCACCGCCGGGCCUUAGAAAACGCAGGGGAUGAAGUUCAAACUGAACUCAGACAUGUCACUGAAUCUAAAGACUGUCACCGCCGGGCCUUAGAAAACGCAGGGGAUGAAGUUCAAACUGAACUCAGACAUGUCACUGAUCUAAAGACGGUCACCGCCGGGCCCUAGAAUACGCAGGGGUUGAAGUUCAAACUGAAUUCACCAGGAAGGGAAGGUAGACUUUCUCCAGGAGGAUCAUUAAGGGGAGGUAGACUUUCUCCAGCAGGAUCAUUAAGGGGAGGUAGACUUUCUCCAGCAGGAUCAUUAAGGGGAGGUAGACUUUCUCCAGCAGGAUCAUUAAGGGGAGGUAGACUUUCUCCAGCAGGAUCAUUAAGGGGAGGUAGACUUUCUCCAGCAGGAUCAUUAAGGGGAGGUAGACUUUCUCCAGCAGGAUCAUUAAGGGGAGGUAGACUUUCUCCAGCAGGAUCAUUAAGGGGAGGUAGACUUUCUCCAGCAGGAUCAUUAAGGGGAGGUAGACUUUCUCCAGCAGGAUCAUUAAGGGGAGGUAGACUUUCUCCAGCAGGAACAGCAUGAAGGGGAGGUCCAGCCCAGGCUCCACCCACCCACCCCUGUGGACAACAAGGGGAAUGAAAAAAUCAAAGAGACAGCUGGGAAAUGGAAAAAUUCACUUAUAACUUGAGAGAAAGGCCUAGCAUACUUAA
Long non-coding RNA from Eriocheir sinensis (Chinese mitten crab), 1747 nucleotides. RefSeq lists it as uncharacterized. The transcript has 6 exons. NCBI's taxonomy places the organism in Eukaryota, Metazoa, Arthropoda, Malacostraca, Decapoda, Varunidae. The record is from RefSeq and is a predicted model, not a curated record.